Molecule: ribosomal RNA, 399 nt
Filed under: uncultured beta proteobacterium
Lineage: Bacteria; Pseudomonadati; Pseudomonadota; Betaproteobacteria
Description: bacterial SSU rRNA
Rfam family: Bacterial small subunit ribosomal RNA
Source: RNAcentral
GAGUUUGAUCGUGGCUCAGAUUGAACGCUGGCGGCAUGCUUUACACAUGCAAGUCGAGCGGCAGCGCGGGGGCAACCCUGGCGGCGAGCGGCGAACGGGUGAGUAAUGGAUAGGGAACGUGUCCGGGAGUAGGGGGAUAACUAGCCGAAAGGUUAGCUAAUACCGCAUAUUCUGUACGCAGGAAAGCGGGGGAUCGCAAGACCUCGCGCUCGCGGAGUGGCCUAUCUCCGAUUAGCUAGUUGGUGAGGUAAAGGCUUACCAAGGCGACGAUCGGUAGCUGGUCUGAGAGGAUGAUCAGCCACACUGGGACUGAGACACGGCCCAGACUCCUACGGGAGGCAGCAGUGGGGAAUUUUGGACAAUAGGGGGCAACCCUGAUCCAGCCAUGCCGCGUGCGGG